Capsicum annuum is the source of this 7965-nucleotide long non-coding RNA. RefSeq lists it as uncharacterized. The transcript has 4 exons. Lineage: Eukaryota; Viridiplantae; Streptophyta; Magnoliopsida; Solanales; Solanaceae. The record is from RefSeq and is a predicted model, not a curated record.
CCCAACCUGAAAACCCGGUUAUAUACCCUAAAAGCAAGGGUUUCCUAAUUCAACCUUCAUUUUCUUCUGCCCUUAACACCUGACUUCUGAUGUUGCCGCUGCUAUUCAAUCACUAACUUUUGCUUCUUUUCCUCUGGAUCAUUAAUGGUUUUGCUUUGGGAGAUCCGAUUUCUUGUGAAUCAACUUUCAAUACUAUGCUUUCUGGUGGUUGGAUAUGCUUAUUUUUUUUUGCUGAAAGUCCCAUCUUGGAUGGGUAUUAACUCUACUCGGUGGGUUCCUGAUUGGGUGUAUGGAAAGAUAGUACUACCACCCUAUAAUUGAGAUUUACCCUCCAGUUUAUUGUUCCUGAUGGUACCCCAGACUUUCCUAUUUUUCUGAGUCCUUUUUGAUCUCUGAAAUAGAUAGGCUAGCAUUUCACUUGUUUAGGAUCUUUAUGUACUGUAAAUAUUUGUUAAGUGAAAACAUUAUGCUGUAGCCUUAGCCUACCCUACCCCUUAUCCUCUUAUAGGAGAUACUCUCAAGUAUGGGGUAUUUAAUUUUUCACUGUACAUGAUGCUUCUCCCUGCUGUGUCCAUGCUGCUGAUAUGAAUGAAACUACAGUCUCCUUUUAUCUAUUGCUAGAUUUGGCACAUAGUCUGCUAAUUUAUUGCUCUCUCUUAGGAUGUGUUGAACCUUUAUCUAUUUUUCUACAAAGUUAUUCCUUAUCUCAUGUAUGAUAUUUGUGAUGCUCCAUGGACAUGCCCACCCCCUUCUAGAACUUUUCUAAUCAACAUGGAAUCUGUCUGAAAGAUAGCCUUGUUAUACUGUGUACAUUUGCAAUGAUUACUUGCUGCUAACGUAGCUUUUGCCUCUGCUACUGUAUUUGUUGUGUCUUCUAUAUUAAUGCCUUGAGCAUACAUCAAGUUUCCUUUUUCAUCUCUAAGGAAAAAAUCAAAAGAGAUCACCUCUAGCUGCCCUUUCAGUAUUGUAUUUGACUCAUCCUACAGGUGGAAAGUCCCAAUUAACUUUGAGCAUUUUUACCUGUGGCUCAAAUUCUUUUGCUUCUUCAGAAUUCCUGGCCAAUGUCCUUGAAACUCUUUAUUAGGUCUUUUUAUUCUGAGAAGCAUAUGUAAGUUUCUAACCACAUUAUGGAUAACCCUUUGAGCUGACAACUUCUUCCCCUCAUGCUUACUGGGAUUUGUGAACUUCCAUAGUUCCCAUACUAUAAUGCUAUGAAUAGACUUAUAGUAUGAUUUUAAACAUUUUCUUACUCCAGCGAUAUUUGAUCUUAAAAGAGCAAAAGUAGGAUCAAGUCCUUUUAGCAAUAUUUGAUCUUAAGAAUAUAUGCGAUUGUGUCUCUUGAUUAGGAUUUGGACAACACCAAUAUCUAGAUGGACCUUUCACACCCUACCUUCUAAUUCUGUCAUCUAUUGGCACUUUGAAUUUCCACAAGCUCCACAUAAGCAAAAAAAAAUUUCAAUGGUAAUCCUUUGACCCACAUCUAUUUAUAUAUCUUAUUGGAACUGUAUUUGUUCCUUAUGUACUACCAUACAAUCCUCACAGUGAAAUUCCCAUCAGUGCUUAGCAUCCAAUAAGGUUUAUCCUCAACUGCAUCAGGGUAUGAUGGUUGCACAUUUUUCACAAUAUGUGCUACCACUUCAUUAUUGAACAAUUGACCCAAAAUUUCCACAUCCCAACUUUCAUUUUUGGUUAAAUGUAUUAUGGAUUCAUAUGUAUCAUCCCAUUCUCCUUUCUUUCCUGUGUAAUUGUGGAGAUGUCCCAAAAUAGUCUAAUUAUCAUGCCAUAUAUUAGAAUUUCCUUUUUUGGUAUUCCACUAUAUUUGAUGCUGGAUCAAAUCUGUAGCUUGUAUCAUUCUUUUCCAAACCUGAGACCCUCCCCUUUCUUUCUCCCAUAUUACCAUGUUACAAUGCUCUUUUUUGUAGUACUUGUUAUUUAUGUAAUCACUCCAUAUUGACUUUUUGGUCCUGAAAUUCCACUAAAUUUUACAAAACAAUGCUAUAGAUACAUCUUGUAGUAAUCGAAAUCCCAACCCUCUUUUAUUCUCUGAUAAGCAUAAACUCCUCCAUUUUGUUCAAUGCCUACUUUUUCCACCAAUACAACUACUCUAGAAGAAUUAUGCCAUCAUUUGAUGAAUUUAAUUUAGUACACUCUGAGGAGGAUUCAUAACUGAUAAGCAAUGAAUAGGAAUACUUUGAAGAACAUACUUAAUUAGUAUUGCUUUUCCUUUACAGGACAACAACUUUUCUUUCCAAGCUUGCAGCUUUGAAUUUAUCCUUAGAAUCAUCUGAUUAUAAAAAAUCUUCUGUUUCUCCUGUAGAAAAUAGGACAACCUAAAUAUGUGAAAGGAAAAUCCUUCCUUAAUAUACCUAUUGCCACCUCUGCCAGAACUACAUCACCCCCGACGCAUUGUGAUGCAUGUAUAUAACACUUUUCUCUUUAUUAAUCCUUUGGCCUGAUGCUGCUUCAUACUUCUUCAGUGUCUCAACUAUCAGUUUCAUAGUUGUUGCUUUUGCCUUGCAUAGAAUAAUCAUAUCAUCCGCAAAAGCAAGAUGAUUAAUAGUUGGACUACCUCUUGGCAUACCAAACUUCUUAAAUUCUUUUAUCCUUAGAAGAGGAUUAAGUGUUCUUGAUAACACUUCAGAAGCUAUUAUAAAUAAAGUAAGAGACAAUGGAUCUCCCUGCUUCAAACCUCUAGAAGAGCUGAAGAAUCCUUUAGGCUGACCAUUCAAUAGAAUAGAAUACUAAUUAUUGAUCAGCAACCUGUAGAUCAUAUCAAUUAUUCUUUCACUGAAUCCAAUUUUUCUUAGAACCUGGAUAAGAAAAGUCCAUUCGACUCUAUCAUAAGCCUUCAUCAUGUCUAGUUUAAUAACCAGAUUAGAAGGUUUGCCCCUUUUCCCGAUCUCUGUUAAAAUUUCUUGGACCAGUAGAAUGUUUUCUGCUAUGCUUCUCCUUUCACAAAACCUGCUUACUCCUUGUAAAUAAUCUUUGGAAGAAAGCCUUUCAUUCUUUCAUGUAUAAUCCUUGAGAAAAUUUUAUUGACAAAAUUUCUCAUGGAUAUAUGUCUUAAAUCAGAAAAAUUCUGGACCAACACCAAAUUUGUUUUAGUUUUAAAAUUUUGGUAAGUCUGCUCCACUAAAAAAAUAUUGGACCAUUUUGAAUAUUUAAUCCCCUACAAUCUCCCAGGCAUCCUGAUAGAAGGCCCCUGUCAUCCCAGCUAGUGCACAUGCACUAUUUCUAUUCAACUCCAUCACAUCACUGCUACAUAAACUUCUUCUUUGAUUGGUAUUUUGUGCAUUUCUUCAUUAUCCUCAUCUCCUAUAACUAUAGGAAAAUCUUCUAAUAAAUCAAAGUUACUCUAAGUGGGUUGCUUCUGAAAUUGGCUCUUAUAGAAAAGCACUGCUUCAGUUGCUAUUUCUUCUUUCUGUUCUAACCAAUCCCCUUCUGAAUUUUGUAUUCUAGAAACUUUAAGCCUCUUCCUCCUACCAUUAACGAAAAUAUGGAAACAUUUAGUAUUUCUCUUCCCAUCAUCAAACCAUUCCAUACCAGUUUUUUGCUUCUAAAAUUUCUCUUCUCUAUGCAAAUAUUUGAUCAAUUUUGCCUGAGCUUCAUGAAGCUUCUGUUUAUUUAACCUUGAUGGAUCCUUUUCAAAUUGGAGUUUUUGCACCUUUAUCAUCUCAUCCAAAGUUGCAAUCUUCUAAAAAAUAUUACUAAAAGUUGCUUUGCUCCACUGGAAGAUAACCCUUUUGACUUUUUUCAUCUUAAACUGAUAGAGUGCAAAGGGAUUUCCUACAAAAUCAACAUUCCAGUUUUUCUUGAUCACCUUUAUAAAUGAGUCUUCUUUUAACUAGAAAUUCAAGAAUCUAAAAUAUUUGACCACUUCUUCUAUUUCAUUUCUAAAGGUAAUCAACAUUGGUGCAUGGUCUGAACCACUUCUUAUUAGAUGUUCCACUUAGAUGGAAAUUUUGAUUGCAUCAAUUAGUUAGUCAAAACUCUAUCCAACCUCUUGAAAAUACAAUUUUUAUUAGUUCUGCCAUUUUAUAAUAUAAACUUACUACCUUUAAACCCCAUGCCUGACAAAUUACAUAUAUUAAUGUAAUGAUUGAAAUCUCUAACUUCAUCUUCUGUUACAGGAAGGCCCCUAAUUUCUCUUCUUCAUUAGAAAUUACAUUAAAGUCACCUCCCACUAUCCAUGGUUUUUGAUAAUCCAUAGCUACUUCAUACAUCUGUUCCCAUAAUUGUAUUCUUUCUUCUUAGGUACAUUUAGCUUAGACAAUUAUUAUGACAACAUCCACUUCAUAAUUUUCAGCAUAAACUCUCAGGGUAAGAUAUUGUUCCUCAUCUCUCAGUACCUUUACUUCCAUAUAUUUAUCUAAAAAGUCCUAUGUCUUACCAUUCCUAUUUACCAUAACGUGUUUGAACCCUAGACUUCUUCUGUACACUUCCAACUCUUGGCUUUUCUGAAAUGGUUCUGUCAACCCCAAAAAAUAAAAUUUGUAUCUUCUUUGUAAACUAAUAAGUCUUGUGAAUACUUUUUGUGUAUUCACUGAUCUAAUAUUCAAAAUCUGAGCAUUCAUGUUGAUUUAUUACUUUUAGAAGUGGUACUUCUUGUUUGCCUUGAAAUAUCUUGCUCAGCUAAGUAUCUAGCUGUACCUUUCUUCUUCCUUUUUGAAUGACUUUCUUUAGUUUAUCAACAUAUUUAGGAGAGAAAUCUCCUACCCCAGACACCUUUCUUAUGUUGUUAUCCAUGUCAGUCAGGUCUUGAGUUCCCUUAUCUUGAAGAGCCUUGCUAUAAACCUCUGAUUAUAUUGCUAAUGGUAAAACAUCAGCAUUAUCAACCUCUGAUAAAACAAGCACAUUUAUUUCAUCUGCCCUUUUCUCCUAUUGUAUAUGUUGUAUUUCUUUUAUUUUCUUUUCUACGUUGUUUUGUUGUUCCAUCUUUUUUGACUCAUGUGUAGGUUUUGGUUAUUCACAUCUUUUGAAUUUUCCACUAGGUUCUUCUUAUCCUCCCGUGAUGUAGUUGUAUUAGUCUUUACACUUCCCUUAUCUGAACUUUUUUUCUUUGCACUUCCAUUAUCUACAUAUUCCUUAUUUGUAUUAUGUUGGAAUUGGGAUGAUUUGCUAAAAGCUUGAGUUACCCAAUCUUUAGUGCUCUCUUUCAAAAUUAUUCUCCAAUUGCUUUCCUUUCUCUGCAUGGCUAUCUUCCUCUUCAUUUUCCAAUGUAUCAAAGGGAUUAUUAUCUGUGUAUUCAAUUUCUCCUUGAAUAUGACUAUACCAAUCCUUCUUAUAUUUGUUCUUUCUCUUUGUCAUCCAUUCUUGUUUGUGUUUGUUUGUGCCAUUCCUGUUCAAUCUUGCUUUUCUAUUCUUUGUUCAUUUACCUUAUCUUCUGUCCCUUUAACAAUUGUAGUCUCUUUUUGUUUCUCUUCUUGUUUCUUUUAAAAAAAUUCAGGAUAUACAUUCCAGCAGCUCUUCUAAUUAUGUCCUUGUAAACAACAUUUCUACAAUAUUUUGGCAUGUAGUCAUACUGAAUUUGUAUCCACUUUGACUUGAUUUCCCGAGUUAUGUCAUCUUCUUUAUUAAUUUUUACCCUAUUUGGGAAUUUUUCCACCAGGUUAACUUUAAUUUUCAAUUUAGCACAAUUUGGUCUUAUUUUAUUUUUUGUCGCCAAAUCAACUGUAACUGGUUUCCCUACUGCCGAUGCAAUAGAAAAAAUUACAUUUUUGGCAGAAAAAAUUGUUAGAAGAUCUUGUAAUAAGAUCAAUGCAAACACCAAUCGUAGUUUCAACUUUUGGCUCAAACCAUGGAUCCCAUUUAAAAGUUAUCAUCUGCCAAUACAUCUUCUUAGUUUUUACAUAAAAUACUGUGGCUGAUAGAAUAUGAAUAUAAUAUUCUAAUGUUUAUAAUCUCUACAAAAUACGUCUUGUAUCCAAUACUCUUAUAGUACAUGCACUCUUAAUGCCACAUUGACUAGGAAUAAUCCUCCUUAACUCACCAAUAUUAGGCUUACCAUAUGAAAACUUUCCUACUAUUGCAUAUUGAUGAUUUUUGUGUAUAAUCAGUGCACCUAUCUUAGAUUUUUCCCAUGUAAUCGUAGGUUCCCUUUUAUCAUAAUCACCAUCUUAAGAGGAACAGAAGGUGUAUAUUGAACUUUAGUUUUAAGGAAUUGAACAUACUGGAUUGUGGGUGAGGGACUUCUCACCAUCUUAAGAGGAACAGAAGGUGUAUAUUGAACUUUAGUUUUAAGGAAUUGAACAUACUGGAUUGUGGGUGAGGGAUUUACUGGAGGUUGAUUAAUGUCAGGUUUUAUUGCUAACAGAGUAUAUUCCUCCGCUGGGAUAGGAGAGGUGCCAGCUACACUGUCCGGCGAAAAUAUUAGGGAUAGAGGUUUUUAGGGAUAGGGUUUUUCAGAGAGCAUUUUUCCACUUCUCACUAUGCCUGAACAAGAGUUGCUUACUAUUGUAUUUGUGUUUGAGAAAUUUUGGUCUUACUUAUUAUUAUCUUUAAUUAAUUUUGAGAUUAUCAUUGAUAUUUGCACUGUCUUUUUAUAAACAAAUGUUAUUUUAGUUUUGUUAAAUUCUUAUUUUGGUUCUCAAUUGAGAUCACAUUCAUAUCUGGUAUUAAAUUUAUUUUAAUCAUAACCCGUUAUUUCAUAAAAGACGAAGAAGAUAUUUUUUGCACAGGUAAGUUAAAUAUUCAUAGUUUUGAUCCUUGGAUAGGAUCAAAUAGUCAUGAUUUUGAAUAACUCAUGAUUUUGGAUAACCUAUGAUUUGUGGUAUUAAACACAGAAUUUUGCUCUUAAGUGAUUUUAUUAUGUCUAUAAAACUAAUCCACUCCCUUCAUAAUUAGUGGAAGUGGAAAAUUUUAAAUUAGGCAAAAACCUACAAAUUCUCUUCUCCCUUUACAUUUUUUGGCUUAGUAGCCGCCUCCCUCGCGUUUCACUUUUUCAGUGAGCAACUCCACCACAAUGGAAAUAUUCCACCUCAUACGACACCACCACAAAUAAUAAUCACCGCCAUAACCUCAACCUCUAACUCACCAAAUAGUCUACUCUCUCCGCCGUUUAUACUGGCAUGUUGCCGGUGAAGCCAUCUCCGGUGAACACCACCCUCCACCCGUUCUCCUCUUUCUCCUCUAACCCAUCUCUAUCGUGAAAGCUAUUUUUGGCGAUACCCACUACCCCAAACUACUUAAGAAACAAAAAAUUCAAAAAUAAUUCGUUCAAACUCCAGCGAAACAAUGCCAUUAACGGCGAGCUCAGAGUUCACAAAACAAGCAACAACCAACCCAACAAUAAUAACCACGAUGAGCCUCGUGUUGUCUUCUUUGAUAAAAAUGUGAUGACCCAUAAUAAGACACCAGCGAGCUCUAAACUCUGAUCUACGGCGAACUCUAAUGGAAACAAAAAAGCCCCCAAAAGUUUCCGACUCUGGCGGAACAUAACACAUGACGAACAAUCCGCUUUUCACUUUGUUUUUUUCAUAUCUGAUUGAGAAAAAUCUAAAGCUCAGUCUUUUGCAGGAAUCAGUGUUGGUUUCAUGGUUGUUGCAGAUAACUAUCCUUCAAUAGCGUCUGCUCCUCUCAUUUAUGGUGGAGAUUGUUUCCAGUCUUAUCGUUCUUGAUUUAGAAGCUCUUACACUUGUUUGGGGCUAGAUCCUUGGGUAGUUUACUUUUUUCAUAGAUUUUAUUUUAGGCUUGUAAAAAUCAAUUGUAAUAAGGAUUUGAUAUUUUGUUACUUAUCUUAUGACUUCUUUAUAUCAUGUUGAAAGGGGUGGCAAGAGGUUUUCUUGUCUAGGUGGAUUAGAAUAGGUGCCCUUAUGAUUCGAUAAAUUGGGUCGUGAUAGUCUGGGAUUUAGUACAUGGACAGAAAAUAUCCCAUGUAGGUCAUGACCCUUGGCAUGUAUGUACAAGGUAAAGGUUAAUUUGAGGAUUCCAUGAGUGAAUUGGAAAAGUAUUUAUAUUGUUGUUUUA